Molecule: non-coding RNA, 28 nt
Filed under: Mus musculus (house mouse)
Lineage: Eukaryota; Metazoa; Chordata; Mammalia; Rodentia; Muridae
Source: RNAcentral
UCCUCUGUAGAAGAUGCCUGUUCGUGUC